AUUGAACGCUGGCGGCAGGCUUAACACAUGCAAGUCGAACGAGUGGCGGACGGGUGAGUAAUGCCUGGGAAUCUGGCUGAUGGAGGGGGAUAACGACGGGAAACUGUCGCUAAUACCGCGUACCAUAGGAUGAGCCCAAGUGGGAUUAGGUAGUUGGUGGGGUAAUGGCCUACCAAGGCGACGAUCCCUAGCUGGUCUGAGAGGAUGACCAGCCACACCGGAACUGAGACACGGCCCAGACUCCUACGGGAGGCAGCAGUGGGGAAUAUUGGGCAAUGGGGGCAAGCCUGACCCAGCCAUGCCGCGUGAAUGAAGAAGGCCUUCGGAUUGUAAAGUACUUUCGGUGGCGAGGCGUUACCCACAGAAGAAGCACCGGCUAACUCCGUGCCAGCAGCCGCGGUAAUAC
This 406-nucleotide ribosomal RNA is filed under the name uncultured bacterium. Its description in RNAcentral is "partial 16S ribosomal RNA". It matches the Rfam family "Bacterial small subunit ribosomal RNA", at positions 29 to 526 of the family's 1533-position model. The record is from RNAcentral.